UAGGGAAUCUUCGGCAAUGGACGAAAGUCUGACCGAGCAACGCCGCGUGAGUGAAGAAGGUUUUCGGAUCGUAAAACUCUGUUGUUAGAGAAGAACAAGGACGUUAGUAACUGAACGUCCCCUGACGGUAUCUAACCAGAAAGCCACGGCUAACUACGUGCCAGCAGCCGCGGUAAUACGUAGGUGGCAAGCGUUGUCCGGAUUUAUUGGGCGUAAAGCGAGCGCAGGCGGUUUCUUAAGUCUGAUGUGAAGGCCCCCGGCUCAACCGGGGAGGGUCAUUGGAAACUGGGAGACUUGAGUGCAGAAGAGGAGAGUGGAAUUCCAUGUGUAGCGGUGAAAUGCGUAGAUAUAUGGAGGAACACCAGUGGCGAAGGCGGCUCUCUGGUCUGUAACUGACGCUGAGGCUCGAAAGCGUGGGGAGCAAACAGG
RNAcentral lists this ribosomal RNA (429 nucleotides) under Gemmatimonadota bacterium. RNAcentral describes it as "Gemmatimonadetes bacterium partial 16S ribosomal RNA". It matches the Rfam family "Bacterial small subunit ribosomal RNA", at positions 355 to 776 of the family's 1533-position model. Lineage: Bacteria; Pseudomonadati; Gemmatimonadota. The record is from RNAcentral.